AGAGUUUGAUCAUGGCUCAGAAUGAACGUUGGCGGCGUGGAUUAGGCAUGCAAGUCGAACGUUGAAAGGGCAACCGAGUAGACGUGGCGAAAGGGGCAGUAAUGCAUAGGUAACCUACCCUCGGGACCGGGAUAGUCGGCGGAAACGCCGAGCAAUACCGGACGACGUAGUUUGGCGGCAUCGUCGGACUACCAAAGUUUUUCGCCCGGGGAGGGGCCUAUGUCCUAUCAGCUUGUUGGUGAGGUGACGGCUCACCAAGGCGACGACGGGUAGGGGGUGUGAGAGCACGACCCCCGUCACUGGCACUGAGACACUGGCCAGACUCCUACGGGAGGCUGCAGUCGAGAAUCUUCGGCAAUGGGCGAAAGCCUGACCGAGCGACGCCGCGUGGUGGAUGAAGGCCUUCGGGUUGUAAACACCUGUUGGGGGGGAACAAUUCCGAGUGAACCCCUGAGGAAGCACGGGCUAAGUUCGUGCCAGCAGCCGCGGUAAUUC
RNAcentral lists this ribosomal RNA (495 nucleotides) under uncultured bacterium. RNAcentral's name for it is "bacterial SSU rRNA". It matches the Rfam family "Bacterial small subunit ribosomal RNA", at positions 8 to 526 of the family's 1533-position model. The record is from RNAcentral.